Molecule: ribosomal RNA, 253 nt
Filed under: uncultured bacterium
Lineage: Bacteria
Description: partial 16S ribosomal RNA
Rfam family: Bacterial small subunit ribosomal RNA
Source: RNAcentral
UACGGAGGGGGCCAGCGUUGUUCGGAAUCAUUGGGCGUAAAGGGCGCGUAGGCGGCCGAGUAAGUCUGACGUGAAAUCCCUUGGCUUAACCAAGGAAUUGCGUCUUAAACUGCUUGGCUUGAGUCCGGGAGAGGGUAGUGGAAUUCCCAGUGUAGCGGUGAAAUGCGUAGAUAUUGGGAGGAACACCGGUGGCGAAGGCGGCUACCUGGACCGGUACUGACGCUGGGACGCGAAAGCGUGGGGAGCAAACAGG